Molecule: ribosomal RNA, 880 nt
Filed under: uncultured bacterium
Lineage: Bacteria
Description: bacterial SSU rRNA
Rfam family: Bacterial small subunit ribosomal RNA
Source: RNAcentral
GCUGAUGAAGUACUUCGGUAAUGAAUCUUGGAUAUCUUAGUGGCGGACGGGUGAGUAACGCGUGAGCAACCUGCCUUUCAGAGGGGGAUAACGUUUGGAAACGAACGCUAAUACCGCAUGACAUUAUCUUAUCGCAUGGUAGGAUAAUCAAAGGAGCAAUCCGCUGAAAGAUGGGCUCGCGUCCGAUUAGGUAGUUGGUGGGGUAACGGCCCACCAAGCCGACGAUCGGUAGCCGGACUGAGAGGUUGGACGGCCACAUUGGGACUGAGACACGGCCCAGACUCCUACGGGAGGCAGCAGUAAGGGAUAUUGGUCAAUGGGGGAAACCCUGAACCAGCAACGCCGCGUGAGGGAAGACGGUUUUCGGAUUGUAAACCUCUGUCCUCUGUGAAGAUGAUGACGGUAGCAGAGGAGGAAGCUCCGGCUAACUACGUGCCAGCAGCCGCGGUAAUACGUAGGGAGCGAGCGUUGUCCGGAUUUACUGGGUGUAAAGGGUGCGUAGGCGGCUUGGCAAGUCAGUAGUGAAAUCCAUGGGCUUAACCCAUGAACUGCUAUUGAAACUGUCGAGCUUGAGUGAAGUAGAGGUAGGCGGAAUUCCCGGUGUAGCGGUGAAAUGCGUAGAGAUCGGGAGGAACACCAGUGGCGAAGGCGGCCUACUGGGCUUUAACUGACGCUGAGGCACGAAAGCGUGGGUAGCAAACAGGAUUAGAUACCCUGGUAGUCCACGCUGUAAACGAUGAUUACUAGGUGUGGGUGGACUGACCCCAUCCGUGCCGGAGUUAACACAAUAAGUAAUCCACCUGGGGAGUACGGCCGCAAGGCUGAAACUCAAAGGAAUUGACGGGGGCCCGCACAAGCAGUGGAGUAUGUGGAUUAAUUC